RNAcentral lists this ribosomal RNA (772 nucleotides) under uncultured bacterium. RNAcentral describes it as "bacterial SSU rRNA". It matches the Rfam family "Bacterial small subunit ribosomal RNA", at positions 673 to 1444 of the family's 1533-position model. The record is from RNAcentral.
GUGUAGCAGUGAAAUGCGUGGAUAUCGAGAGGAACACUCGUGGCGAAAGCGAGUUACUGGACAAUUACUGACGCUGAGGCUCGAAGGCCAGGGGAGCAAAAGGGAUUAGAUACCCCUGUAGUCCUGGCAGUAAACGGUGCACGCUUGGUUUGAGGGGAAUCGACCCCCUUCGAGCCGGAGCUAACGCGUUAAGCGUGCCGCCUGGGAAGUACGGUCGCAAGACUAAAACUCAAAGAAAUUGACGGGGACCCGCACAAGCGGUGGAGUAUGUGGCUUAAUUCGAUGCAACGCGAAGAACCUUACCUAGGCUUGACAUGCAUUUCUAAAUACGUGAAAGCGUAUGACUCUUCGGAGGACUUGCACAGGUGCUGCAUGGCCGUCGUCAGCUCGUGUCGUGAGAUGUUGGGUUAAGUCCCGCAACGAGCGCAACCCCUGUGAUUAGUUACCAGCGCGUGAUGGCGGGGACUCUAAUCAGACUGCCCAGAUCAACUGGGAGGAAGGUGGGGACGACGUCAGGUCAGUAUGGCCCUUACGCCUAGGGCUGCACACGUACUACAAUGCCCAGCACAAUGAGAACCGAGACCGCGAGGUGGAGGAAAUCUACAAAACUGGGCUCAGUUCGGAUUGGAGGCUGCAACUCGCCUCCAUGAAGCUGGAAUCGCUAGUAAUGGCACAUCAGCUACGGUGCCGUGAAUACGUUCCCGGGUCUUGUACACACCGCCCGUCACAUCAUGGAAGUCGGUCGCACCCGAAGUACACGCGCCAACCGCAA